Molecule: ribosomal RNA, 491 nt
Filed under: uncultured bacterium
Lineage: Bacteria
Description: partial 16S ribosomal RNA
Rfam family: Bacterial small subunit ribosomal RNA
Source: RNAcentral
AGUGAACGCUGGCGGUAGGCCUAACACAUGCAAGUCGAACGGCAGCACAGUAAGAGCUUGCUCUUACGGGUGGCGAGUGGCGGACGGGUGAGGAAUACAUCGGAAUCUACUUUUUCGUGGGGGAUAACGUAGGGAAACUUACGCUAAUACCGCAUACGACCUACGGGUGAAAGCAGGGGAUCUUCGGACCUUGCGCGAUUGAAUGAGCCGAUGUCGGAUUAGCUAGUUGGCGGGGUAAAGGCCCACCAAGGGGACGAUCCGUAGCUGGUCUGAGAGGAUGGGCAGCCACACUGGAACUGAGACACGGUCCAGACUCCUACGGGAGGCAGCAGUGGGGAAUAUUGGACAAUGUGCGCAAGCCUGAUCCAGCCAUACCGCGUGGGUGAAGAAGGCCUUCGGGUUGUAAAGCCCUUUUGUUGGGAAAGAAAAGCAGCAGGUUAAUACCCCGCUGUUCUGACGGUACCCAAAGAAUAAGCACCGGCUAACUUCGU